UUCCAUUUUAUCGGAUGUCCCCGAAGGAACGAUACAGAGAAGAUUAGCAUGGCCCCUGCGCAAGAAAAAGAAAAAAGAAAAAAGAAAAAAAAAGGUAUU
This is a small nuclear RNA of Lycium barbarum (goji berry), 99 nucleotides long. The record is from RefSeq and is a predicted model, not a curated record. Lineage: Eukaryota; Viridiplantae; Streptophyta; Magnoliopsida; Solanales; Solanaceae.